UAGGGAAUCUUCCGCAAUGGGCGAAAGCCUGACGGAGCAAUGCCGCGUGAGUGAAGAAGGCCUUCGGGUCGUAAAACUCUGUUAUAAGAGAAGAACAAAUUGUAGAGUAACUGCUACAGUCUUGACGGUAUCUUAUCAGAAAGCCACGGCUAACUACGUGCCAGCAGCCGCGGUAAUACGUAGGUGGCAAGCGUUGUCCGGAUUUAUUGGGCGUAAAGGGAGCGCAGGUGGUUUCUUAAGUCUGAUGUGAAAGCCCACGGCUUAACCGUGGAGGGUCAUUUGAAACUGGGAAACUUGAGUACAGAAGAGGAAUGUGGAACUCCAUGUGUAGCGGUGGAAUGCGUAGAUAUAUGGAAGAACACCAGUGGCGAAGGCGACAUUCUGGUCUGUUACUGACACUGAGGCUCGAAAGCGUGGGGAGCAAACAGG
This 429-nucleotide ribosomal RNA is filed under the name Acidobacteriota bacterium. Its description in RNAcentral is "Acidobacteria bacterium partial 16S ribosomal RNA". It matches the Rfam family "Bacterial small subunit ribosomal RNA", at positions 355 to 776 of the family's 1533-position model. The record is from RNAcentral. Lineage: Bacteria; Pseudomonadati; Acidobacteriota.